AUGGGACCACCUCCUCUGUUUGCAGCCAGCCAGCCAGAUCAGACCUGCGUACUGGUCCACUGGGCUCAGACCAGGAGUGUGGGAGUCUCUUCAGUCCUCAAGUUGUCUCAAAAAGCAUUGACAGUCUCCACGGGGAAGAAAAGAAAGCACAAUGAGGAAGCAGUCUUACGACGGAACUGUCGGGAGACACUGAGAAGCAAAGAUAUGGACACAGCUCCACCUUGCGGUGAAUCAACGCAUAUGCUAAGAUAAAUUGGAUUUCUAUACCUUCUCCCCACAAGGAUUUUGAUGGACACAACAUGAAUGAAUUCAGCAUAAAACAGAUGGAAUAUAAUAAAUGCUCAUAGUAAAUA
Molecule: long non-coding RNA, 353 nt
Filed under: Rattus norvegicus (Norway rat)
Lineage: Eukaryota; Metazoa; Chordata; Mammalia; Rodentia; Muridae
Description: long non-coding RNA NONRATT028424
Source: RNAcentral